RNAcentral lists this ribosomal RNA (228 nucleotides) under uncultured bacterium. RNAcentral describes it as "partial 16S ribosomal RNA". It matches the Rfam family "Bacterial small subunit ribosomal RNA", at positions 524 to 750 of the family's 1533-position model. The record is from RNAcentral.
UACGAAGGGGGCUAGCGUUGCUCGGAAUCACUGGGCGUAAAGCGCACGUAGGCGGACUCUUAAGUCGGUGGUGAAAUCCUGGAGCUCAACUCCAGAACUGCCUUCGAUACUGGGAGUCUCGAGUCCGAGAGAGGUGAGUGGAACUGCGAGUGUAGAGGUGAAAUUCGUAGAUAUUCGCAAGAACACCAGUGGCGAAGGCGGCUGACUGGUCCGGAUCGUGACGCUGAG